Molecule: ribosomal RNA, 459 nt
Filed under: uncultured bacterium
Lineage: Bacteria
Description: partial 16S ribosomal RNA
Rfam family: Bacterial small subunit ribosomal RNA
Source: RNAcentral
CCUACGGGUGGCAGCAGUGAGGAAUAUUGGUCAAUGGUCGGGAGCCUGAACCAGCCAAGCCGCGUGAGGGAUGAAGGUACAGAGUAUCGUAAACCUCUUUUGUCAGGGAACAAAGGCGGGGACGUGUCCCCGGAUGAGUGUACCUGAAGAAAAAGCAUCGGCAAACUCCGUGCCAGCAGCCGCGGUAAUACGGAGGAUGCGAGGGUUAUCCGGAUUGAUUGGGUUUAAAGGGUGCGCAGGCGGUCUGUUAAGUCAGCGGUCAAAGCCCGGGGCUCAACCCCGGCCCGCCGUUGAAACUGGCAGUCUCGAGUGGGAGAGAGGUAUGCGGAAUGCGCGGUGUAGCGGUGAAAUGCAUAGAUAUCGCGCAGAACUCCGAUUGCGAAGGCAGCAUGCCGGCUCCACACUGACGCUGAGGCACGAAAGCGUGGGUAUCGAACAGGAUUAGAUACCCGGGUAGUC